This 155-nucleotide small nuclear RNA is filed under the name Castor canadensis (American beaver). RNAcentral's name for it is "U2 spliceosomal RNA (ENSCCNG00000018711.1)". It matches the Rfam family "U2 spliceosomal RNA". From Rfam's summary of the family: U2 is a small nuclear RNA (snRNA) component of the spliceosome (involved in pre-mRNA splicing). Complementary binding between U2 snRNA (in an area lying towards the 5' end but 3' to hairpin I) and the branchpoint sequence (BPS) of the intron results the bulging out of an unpaired adenosine, on the BPS, which initiates a nucleophilic attack at the intronic 5' splice site, thus starting the first of two transesterification reactions that mediate splicing. Lineage: Eukaryota; Metazoa; Chordata; Mammalia; Rodentia; Castoridae. The record is from Rfam by way of RNAcentral.
GUUGCUUCUCCACCUUUUGGCUAGGGUAAAGUGUAGUAUCUGCUCUUAUCAAUUUGAUAAAUGUAUUUCUGGAAGUAGGAGAUGGAAUAGGUGCUUGCUCCAUUUGUGCCAUGCAUUACCUGUGUUGCAAUACUUCCAGGAAUGAUGGUACACCC